Non-coding RNA from Schistosoma mansoni, 78 nucleotides. NCBI's taxonomy places the organism in Eukaryota, Metazoa, Platyhelminthes, Trematoda, Strigeidida, Schistosomatidae. The record is from Rfam.
AGCUUCCUGAGUCCGUGCCGUGAUUUCAUCUUACAUCAACCCAUCUAGGCUGAUGAGACUUACAAUAUAAGUGAAGCG